UACGGGGGGGGCAAGCGUUGUUCGGAAUUACUGGGCGUAAAGGGCUUGGAGGUGGCCAACUAAGUCAGACGUGAAAUCCCUCGGCUUAACCGGGGAACUGCGUCUGAUACUGGAUGGUUGGAGUGUGGGAGAGGGAUGCGGAAUUCCAGGUGUAGCGGUGAAAUGCGUAGAUAUCUGGAGGAACACCGGUGGCGAAGGCGGCAUCCUGGACCAUUACUGACACUGAAAAGCGAAAGCCAGGGGAGCAAACGGG
RNAcentral lists this ribosomal RNA (253 nucleotides) under uncultured bacterium. RNAcentral's name for it is "partial 16S ribosomal RNA". It matches the Rfam family "Bacterial small subunit ribosomal RNA", at positions 524 to 776 of the family's 1533-position model. The record is from RNAcentral.